RNAcentral lists this ribosomal RNA (883 nucleotides) under Alcaligenes sp. ST-1. RNAcentral describes it as "bacterial SSU rRNA". It matches the Rfam family "Bacterial small subunit ribosomal RNA", at positions 87 to 963 of the family's 1533-position model. The record is from RNAcentral. Lineage: Bacteria; Pseudomonadati; Pseudomonadota; Betaproteobacteria; Burkholderiales; Alcaligenaceae.
GGCGGCGAGUGGCGGACGGGUGAGUAAUAUAUCGGAACGUGCCCAGUAUCGGGGGAUAACUACUCAAAAGAGUGGCUAAUACCGCAUACGCCCUACGGGGGAAAGGGGGGGAUCGCAAGACCUCUCACUAUUGGAGCGGCCGAUAUCUGGAUUAGCUAGUUGGUGGGGUAAAGGCUCACCAAGGCAACAGAUCCGUAGCUGGUUUGAGAGGACAGACCAGCCACACUGGGACUGAAACACGGCCCAAACUCCUACGGAAGGCAGCAGUGGGGAAUUUUGGACAAUGGGGGAAACCCUGAUCCAGCCAUCCCGCGUGUAUGAUGAAGGCCUUCGGGUUGUAAAGUACUUUUGGCAGAGAAGAAAAGGUACCUCCUAAUACGAGGUACUGCUGACGGUAUCUGCAUAAUAAGCACCGGCUAACUACGUGCCAGCAGCCGCGGUAAUACAUAUGGUGCACGCGUUAAUCUGAAUUACUGGGCGUAAAGCGUGUGUAGGCGGUUCGGAAAGAAAGAUGUGAAAUCCCAGGGCUCAACCUUGGAACUGCAUUUUUAACUGCCAAGCUAAAGUAUGUCAUAGGGGGGUAGAAUUCCACGUGUAGCAGUGAAAUGCGUAGAUAUGUGGAGGAAUACCGAUGGCGAAGGCAGCCCCCUGGGAUAAUACUGACGCUCAGACACGAAAGCGUGGGGAGCAAACAGGAUUAGAUACCCUGGUAGUCCACGCCCUAAACGAUGUCAACUAGCUGUUGGGGCCGUUAGGCCUUAAUAUCGCACCUAACGCGUGAAGUUGACCGCCUGGGGAGUACGGUCGCAAGAUUAAAACUCAAAGGAAUUGACGGGGACCCGCACAAACGGUGGAUGAUGUGGAUUAAUUCCAUGCAACGCUG